RNAcentral lists this ribosomal RNA (426 nucleotides) under uncultured Pseudomonas sp. Its description in RNAcentral is "bacterial SSU rRNA". It matches the Rfam family "Bacterial small subunit ribosomal RNA", at positions 355 to 774 of the family's 1533-position model. Lineage: Bacteria; Pseudomonadati; Pseudomonadota; Gammaproteobacteria; Pseudomonadales; Pseudomonadaceae. The record is from RNAcentral.
UGGGGAAUAUUGGACAAUGGGCGAAAGCCUGAUCCAGCCAUGCCGCGUGUGUGAAGAAGGUCUUCGGAUUGUAAAGCACUUUAAGUUGGGAGGAAGGGUUGUAGAUUAAUACUCUGCAAUUUUGACGUUACCGACAGAAUAAGCACCGGCUAACUCUGUGCCAGCAGCCGCGGUAAUACAGAGGGUGCAAGCGUUAAUCGGAAUUACUGGGCGUAAAGCGCGCGUAGGUGGUUUGUUAAGUUGGAUGUGAAAUCCCGGGCUCAACCUGGGAACUGCAUCCAAAACUGGCAAGCUAGAGUAUGGUAGAGGGUGGUGGAAUUUCCUGUGUAGCGGUGAAAUGCGUAGAUAUAGGAAGGAACACCAGUGGCGAAGGCGACCACCUGGACUGAUACUGACACUGAGGUGCGAAAGCGUGGGGAGCAAACA